CCCCGAUUUACCUUACUUUACAUUUAAGUUUAUAUACCAUUGUAUAACCAAAUUUCUAAAAAUUUUCGUCAGAAAUCUAAUCAAAAUAAAAAUUCAAAUCAAGGUGUAAUUAUAAGUAAAGAAUAAAUUAGUUACUUUCUAUUUAUAGCACUCAAAACAAAAAGAAAUAAUUGUCAAAAGCAGGAUUUAUUUGUAAAAAGAAACUAGUGAAUUCAUUUGAAUAAAUUCUAUAAAUGUGUACAUACCGCCCGUCGCUCGCGGGA
RNAcentral lists this ribosomal RNA (263 nucleotides) under Facetotecta sp. Its description in RNAcentral is "partial small subunit ribosomal RNA". The record is from RNAcentral. Lineage: Eukaryota; Metazoa; Arthropoda; Thecostraca.